GUUCGCUACCGCAUAGGUAGCUCAGAAA
RNAcentral lists this non-coding RNA (28 nucleotides) under Halotalea alkalilenta. The record is from RNAcentral. Lineage: Bacteria; Pseudomonadati; Pseudomonadota; Gammaproteobacteria; Oceanospirillales; Halomonadaceae.